Molecule: ribosomal RNA, 403 nt
Filed under: Verrucomicrobiota bacterium
Lineage: Bacteria; Pseudomonadati; Verrucomicrobiota
Description: Verrucomicrobia bacterium partial 16S ribosomal RNA
Rfam family: Bacterial small subunit ribosomal RNA
Source: RNAcentral
UGGGGAAUAUUGCACAAUGGGGGAAACCCUGAUGCAGCGACGCCGCGUGAGCGAUGAAGGCUUUCGAGUCGUAAAGCUCUGUCCUAUGGGAAGAUAAUGACGGUACCAUAGAAGAAAGCCCCGGCUAAUUACGUGCCAGCAGCCGCGGUAAUACGUAAGGUCCGAGCGUUGUCCGGAAUCAUUGGGCGUAAAGGGUACGUAGGCGGAUAAGCAAGUUAGAAGUGAAAUCCUAUAGCUCAACUAUAGUAAGCUUUUAAAACUGCUCAUCUUGAGGUAUGGAAGGGAAAGUGGAAUUCCUAGUGUAGCGGUGAAAUGCGCAGAUAUUAGGAGGAAUACCGGUGGCGAAGGCGACUUUCUGGCCAUAUACUGACGCUGAGGUACGAAAGCGUGGGUAGCAAACAGG